GAUGAACGCUGGCGGUAGGCUUAACACAUGCAAGUCGAACGCCCCGCAAGGGGAGUGGCAGACGGGUGAGUAACGCGUGGGAACGUACCCCAAGAUUCGGAACAACGCCGGGAAACUGGCGCUAAUACCGGAUGUGACCGUGAGGUGAAAGAUUUAUCGCCUUGGGAUCGGCCCGCGUUAGAUUAGGUAGUUGGUGGGGUAAUGGCCCACCAAGCCUACGAUCUAUAGCUGGUCUGAGAGGAUGAUCAGCCACACUGGGACUGAGACACGGCCCAGACUCCUACGGGAGGCAGCAGUGGGGAAUCUUGGAUAAUGGGCGCAAGCCUGAUCCAGCCAUGCCGCGUGAAUGAUGAAGGCCUUAGGGUUGUAAAAUUCUUUCGUCAGGGACGAUAAUGACGGUACCUGAAGAAGAAGCCCCGGCUAACUUCGUGCCAGCAGCCGCCGCGG
Molecule: ribosomal RNA, 447 nt
Filed under: uncultured bacterium
Lineage: Bacteria
Description: partial 16S ribosomal RNA
Rfam family: Bacterial small subunit ribosomal RNA
Source: RNAcentral